GGUGUUCUGAAAUAAAAUGGUCCAGCCUAUUUUUUAUCAACACUUCUGGAGGCCACCUCCCUCACUCCCUAGGGACAUUGAGUCUGCCAGAUCAGGGGCCUGGAAGGAAGGACAUAGUAUGUUGCAAUACAUUGGCUGUGACAGUCUGAGGAACCGGAGUAAUGCUGAAUGGUCUCAAACCAAAAGGUAUCGGAUCCAUUUCCCUCCACAGAUGCUGCCUGACCCUUUGAGUUCCUCCAGAAUCUUGUCUGUUGCCACUGAAUCACUACAGUUAUGCAAGAGGGCAGGGCUGGGACUACAGGCAGAGAUUCAGCAUCCUUAGUACUUUGGAAUUGCAGGGUGAUAGAAGGAUGGAAUAUGUACUUAGUAGAUCAGGCAGCAUCUGUGGAGAAAGAAACUCUAAUAAAGACUGGGAAAGUGAGAAAACCAAUGUGUGUUUGAAGCUGCAGAGGAAAGGAGGUAUGGAGAGAACAAGUCACGCAUCAACCCCAAUCCCAUACCCUGACCACUUUGUUCCUUUCCCCUCUUCAACCUACUCCAUCUGCCCACGUCCCACUUGCUCCCCUAUCCCUAUCUAUCUUGUCUGCCCACCACCCCUCCGUUAUCACCCUCCUAUCUUAUUAGAUUCAUCUGCAGUCUCCAUCAGUCAUCUCCCAGCCCCCGUUGCCCUCCAGCAGCUGACCCCCUCUGUCAAUCAACCCUCUCCCCUACAGCUUGCCAGUUCCACUCCUAUGAAUGCCUACAACAAAAUGAAUCUCAGGGUUGUAUAUAAUAUCAGUUUGAUAAUAAAUUUAGUUUGAACUUUGAACUCUAUUCUUCCAGUAAAGAUUUGCUUAGAUUAGCUAAACUUUAUUUUUUGUCACAAGAUUUGAAUAGCUCAGACUCAGCAGAAAGCAGCUGAUUGGGCAAUCAAAAAUUGAAAAGCUCAAACAAAUAAGAAGAAGGGUAGCUCAAGCCGAGUGGCCAGUCGAGGAGUGGAGCAUUGAGGGUUUGGCUUGAGAGGCUUCGGCGAGAAGAGGCAGAGGACGAGCUUACUCCAACUGCGGUAAGGCCGGCACCUUGUCUAGGAAGACCAUCAGACAUAGGAGCAGAAUGAGGUCAUUCAGCCCAUUAAGUCUGCUCUGAGCCUGCUCUCAGAGAGCAAAAGGUAAACACUUAGCUUUAUUUGUCACGUGCAUCGAAACGUACAGUGAAAUGGAAUUGUUUUCAUCAGUAACCAACACAUUUCAAGGAUUGUGCUGAGGGCAGUCCGCAAGAGUUGCCGUGUUUCAGGCACUGCAUAGCAUGCCCACAAUUUACUAACCCUGACCCGUAUUUCUUUGGAAUGUGGGAGGAAACUGGAGCACCCGGAAGAAAAUCGCAUGGUCAUGGGGAGAAGAUACAAACUCCUUACAGACAGAGGUGGGAACUGAACCCCGACCACUAGAGCAUUGCAUGAACUGCUAUGUUGCCGUGCCUCCUGUCAUGAGACUUUGGAACUCUUUUCUUCAAUGAGUGGUGGAAAUAGACUCAACUAAUAUUCUUAGGCAGAGGUACGACAGAAAUGCAGAAAGGACGUUACAAUUAGUCAUUUCACAAUCAUAUGCCAUGCCAAAGCUGGUUGAAGGGUCUGAUGGGCAUAUUCCUGCUGCAUUUAAAGGUUUCUUCUUCAAAUCUUUCCUAACAUCAAAGGUAUGUGGUUCAAUGUUUGUUGGUGAUUCAUCCCCAAAAACAAGGGAUGGCAAAGAAGGCACAACAGCGAUUCAAUUUAGAAGUCUGUGCAGAUUUGGCCUGUCAUCUAAAACUUUGACAAACUUCUAUAGAUGUGCAGUGGGGAGUAUCCGGCCUGGUCAUAUGAUGGCCUGGUAUGGAAACACCAAUGCCCAAGAACGGAAAGCCUAUAGAAAGUGGUGGAUACAACCCAGCCCAUCAUAGGCAAAGUCCUCCCUACCACUGAGCACAUCUACAAGGAGCAGUGCCACGAUAAAGCAGCACCCAUCAACAAGGACCCCCACCAUCCAGGCCAUGAUCUCUUCUCACCGCUGCCAUUGGGAAUGAGAACAGGAAGUUUAGAUCUCACACCACUAGGUUCAGGAAUAAUUAUUAAUUUACAUGGAUAACACCACUCACCUCAACAGAUUCCACAACCGACAAACUCACUUUCAAGGACUGUACAACUCAUGUUCUUAGUAAUAUGUGUGUGUUUUUAUUUUUUUUUUGUCAUUUGCACAGCUUGUCUUCUCUUGCAGAUUGGUUUCUUGUUAGUCUUUGUGUGUAGUUUUUCAUUGAUUCUAUUGCAUUUCUUUAUUCUACUGUGAAUGCCUGCAAUAAAAUGGAUCUCAAGGUAAUAUAAGGUGGCAUAUACGUACUUCGAUAAUUUACUUUGAAUUUGAACAAAAAUUCUCCACCUAGCACCUCUUCUC
Molecule: long non-coding RNA, 2402 nt
Organism: Hypanus sabinus (Atlantic stingray)
Lineage: Eukaryota; Metazoa; Chordata; Chondrichthyes; Myliobatiformes; Dasyatidae
Exons: 3
Source: RefSeq, a predicted model, not a curated record